AUUGAACGCUGGCGGCAUGCCUUACACAUGCAAGUCGAACGGCAGCACGGGAGCUUGCUCCUGGUGGCGAGUGGCGAACGGGUGAGUAAUACAUCGGAACGUACCCUGAAGUGGGGGAUAACGUAGCGAAAGUUACGCUAAUACCGCAUAUUCUGUGAGCAGGAAAGAGGGGGAUCGCAAGACCUCUUGCUUUAGGAGCGGCCGAUGUCGGAUUAGCUAGUUGGUGAGGUAAAGGCUCACCAAGGCGACGAUCCGUAGCGGGUCUGAGAGGAUGAUCCGCCACACUGGGACUGAGACACGGCCCAGACUCCUACGGGAGGCAGCAGUGGGGAAUUUUGGACAAUGGGCGCAAGCCUGAUCCAGCCAUGCCGCGUG
RNAcentral lists this ribosomal RNA (375 nucleotides) under uncultured bacterium. RNAcentral describes it as "bacterial SSU rRNA". It matches the Rfam family "Bacterial small subunit ribosomal RNA", at positions 30 to 403 of the family's 1533-position model. The record is from RNAcentral.